This 562-nucleotide ribosomal RNA is filed under the name uncultured Alphaproteobacteria bacterium. RNAcentral describes it as "bacterial SSU rRNA". It matches the Rfam family "Bacterial small subunit ribosomal RNA", at positions 40 to 651 of the family's 1533-position model. The record is from RNAcentral. Lineage: Bacteria; Pseudomonadati; Pseudomonadota; Alphaproteobacteria.
CGGCAGGCCUACCAUGCAAGUCNACGGACCCUUCGGGGUUAGUGGCGGACGGGUGAGUAACACGUGGGAACGUGCCCUUUGGUUCGGAAUAGCUCCUGGAAACGGGUGGUAAUGCCGAAUGUGCCCUUCGGGGGAAAGAUUUAUCGCCAUUAGAGCGGCCCGCGUCUGAUUAGCUAGUUGGUGAGGUAAAGGCUCACCAAGGCUACGAUCAGUAGCUGGUCUGAGAGGAUGGCCAGCCACAUUGGGACUGAGACACGGCCCAAACUCCUACGGGAGGCAGCAGUGGGGAAUCUUGCGCAAUGGGCGAAAGCCUGACGCAGCCAUGCCGCGUGAAUGAUGAAGGUCUUAGGAUUGUAAAAUUCUUUCACCGGGGACGAUAAUGACGGUACCCGGANAANAAGCCCCGGCUAACUUCGUGCCAGCAGCCGCGGUAAUACGAAGGGGGCUAGCGUUGCUCGGAAUUACUGGGCGUAAAGGGAGCGUAGGCGGACAUUUAAGUCAGGGGUGAAAUCCCAGAGCUCAACUCUGGAACUGCCUUUGAUACUGGAUGUCUUGAGUGUGA